This 117-nucleotide non-coding RNA is filed under the name Pan paniscus (pygmy chimpanzee). Lineage: Eukaryota; Metazoa; Chordata; Mammalia; Primates; Hominidae. RNAcentral also lists the same sequence under 1 other name. The record is from Rfam by way of RNAcentral.
GCUGGGCAUGGUGGCUCAUGCCUGUAAUCCCAACACUUUGGGAGGCCGAGGCGGGUGGAUCACCUGAGGUCAGGAGUUCGAGACUAGCCUGGCCAACAUGGUGAAACUCCGUCUCUA